AUGGAACUCGCCAAGUACCACCAAGUUCCUGAUGGAUGCGCCAAGUCCCCAGCGAGACCCAUUUUCGUCAAGUUUGACUACACGGCUAUGACCUCGGAGUUGGACCGCAAGCGCCAAGUACCCCACCGGCAAGACCACACGGACGCUCGAACGACUACAGAUCGAAACAUCAAGUACCUCGUCGAUACGUGUACGACUACCAUCGCCAAAGUCCGCGAGUACAACUACUUCCACGACGAUAUGAGUACAACUACCGUCGACGUGUACGUCUACUAUGUGAACGUGUACCCGAUGACCCCGUAG
This 303-nucleotide ribosomal RNA is filed under the name Triticum aestivum (bread wheat). RNAcentral describes it as "partial small subunit ribosomal RNA". The record is from RNAcentral. Lineage: Eukaryota; Viridiplantae; Streptophyta; Magnoliopsida; Poales; Poaceae.